RNAcentral lists this ribosomal RNA (474 nucleotides) under Cerastoderma edule. RNAcentral's name for it is "partial 28S ribosomal RNA". Lineage: Eukaryota; Metazoa; Mollusca; Bivalvia; Cardiida; Cardiidae. The record is from RNAcentral.
CGGAUGGAGCCGCGUUACAUCUCGUACCGAUGCAUUCAGUCCGUUGCCGAGCGGCGCCCGCGGACUCUAAGUUUGCGACAGUCGCAAGCCUCUCGUUCCACCCCUGCGUGUGGGUAGCGUCGACCCGCGGGGCUGGCGCUGCGAGGCAUCAGGGUGCACUUGCUGCGGUUUGUACACGCCACUACCGGUUCCUUUGCAUGCAGUCUUGACUCGCGGGUGGUUUGGCCUCGCUCCUGCGUGGAUCCUUGCCAUCCGCUGGCGCAGGUUCGACGCUCGGAUCGGACACUCACCUGGGGACCUAGCACGCGUAUGCCCGGUGCUUCCGUACGCGGGCGUUCACCAGCCGAGCGCGUUGAGGUCUGCCCUCGUGGUCUGCUCCUCGCCGUUACACGGGCUUCGGCGAGCUCUCGCCUCCGUCCCGAUGCUCCCCCCGAGUGUCGUGUGGCGGAUCAAGUCGGUACUCCAGCCGACCCG